CCGGUAGCUCAGUAGGUAGAGCAAAGGACUGAAAAUCCUUGUGUCGGCGGUUCGAUCCCGCCUUG
This 65-nucleotide transfer RNA is filed under the name bovine gut metagenome. The stretch from base 5 to 62 matches the Rfam family "tRNA", at positions 8 to 63 of the family's 71-position model. Rfam says of the family: Transfer RNA (tRNA) molecules are approximately 80 nucleotides in length. Their secondary structure includes four short double-helical elements and three loops (D, anti-codon, and T loops). Further hydrogen bonds mediate the characteristic L-shaped molecular structure. tRNAs have two regions of fundamental functional importance: the anti-codon, which is responsible for specific mRNA codon recognition, and the 3' end, to which the tRNAs corresponding amino acid is attached (by aminoacyl-tRNA synthetases). tRNAs cope with the degeneracy of the genetic code in two manners: having more than one tRNA (with a specific anti-codon) for a particular amino acid; and 'wobble' base-pairing, i.e. permitting non-standard base-pairing at the 3rd anti-codon position. The record is from RNAcentral.